Molecule: transfer RNA, 45 nt
Filed under: Cyrtodactylus fluvicavus
Lineage: Eukaryota; Metazoa; Chordata; Lepidosauria; Squamata; Gekkonidae
Description: partial tRNA-Tyr
Source: RNAcentral
UUGGUUGGGGGGGCAUAACCCCGUGGGCAAGUACACAGCUCACCG